GAGACCUACGGGGGGCAGCAGCCGCGGUAAUACGUAGGGGGCAAGCGUUAUCCGGAUUUACUGGGUGUAAAGGGAGCGUAGACGGCGGUGCAAGUCUGGAGUGAAAGGCAGGGGCCCAACCCCUGGACUGCUCUGGAAACUGUAGUGCUGGAGUGCAGGAGAGGUAAGUGGAAUUCCUAGUGUAGCGGUGAAAUGCGUAGAUAUUAGGAGGAACACCAGUGGCGAAGGCGGCUUACUGGACUGUAACUGACGUUGAGGCUCGAAAGCGUGGGGAGCAAACAGGAUUAGAUACCCCUGUAGUCCAC
Molecule: ribosomal RNA, 305 nt
Filed under: uncultured bacterium
Lineage: Bacteria
Description: bacterial SSU rRNA
Rfam family: Bacterial small subunit ribosomal RNA
Source: RNAcentral